UAGCGAUGAAGCGUCAGCGGUUCCCCGACGGUGGAAGACAUCGGGGGAUUAAAAGGGAACGACGGAAGAGGCCAACUCCGAGAGGGCCUUCAAGCCGUGGCUGUCCCCGCAACUGUGAACGGCGAGGUUCGUGCCUCAUGCCACUGACGCGCAAGCGUCGGGAAGGCGGUGCGCUCCAACGACCCGUGAGCCAGGAGACCUGCCGUUGACGGCGUCACUAU
Molecule: non-coding RNA, 221 nt
Filed under: Caenispirillum salinarum
Lineage: Bacteria; Pseudomonadati; Pseudomonadota; Alphaproteobacteria; Rhodospirillales; Novispirillaceae
Also listed under: 1 other name
Source: RNAcentral